This 500-nucleotide ribosomal RNA is filed under the name uncultured Enterococcus sp. RNAcentral describes it as "bacterial SSU rRNA". It matches the Rfam family "Bacterial small subunit ribosomal RNA", at positions 39 to 510 of the family's 1533-position model. The record is from RNAcentral. Lineage: Bacteria; Bacillati; Bacillota; Bacilli; Lactobacillales; Enterococcaceae.
GCGGCGUGCCUAAUACAUGCAAGUCGAACGCUUCUUUCCUCCCGAGUGCUUGCACUCAAUUGGAAAGAGGAGUGGCGGACGGGUGAGUAACACGUGGGUAACCUACCCAUCAGAGGGGGAUAACACUUGGAAACAGGUGCUAAUACCGCAUAACAGUUUAUGCCGCAUGGCAUAAGAGUGAAAGGCGCUUUCGGGUGUCGCUGAUGGAUGGACCCGCGGUGCAUUAGCUAGUUGGUGAGGUAACGGCUCACCAAGGCCGCGAUGCAUAGCCGACCUGAGAGGGUGAUCGGCCACACUGGGACUGAGACACGGCCCAGACUCCUACGGGAGGCAGCAGUAGGGAAUCUUCGGCAAUGGACGAAAGUCUGACCGAGCAACGCCGCGUGAGUGAAGAAGGUUUUCGGAUCGUAAAACUCUGUUGUUAGAGAAGAACAAGGACGUUAGUAACUGAACGUCCCCUGACGGUAUCUAACCAGAAAGCCACGGCUAACUACGUGCCA